Molecule: ribosomal RNA, 1425 nt
Filed under: metagenome
Description: bacterial SSU rRNA
Rfam family: Archaeal small subunit ribosomal RNA
Source: RNAcentral
GUUGAUCCUGCGGGAGAUUGCUGCUAUCUGAGUUCGAUUAAGCCAUGCAAGUCUAUCUAGCAAUAGAGGCAGAAUGCUCAGUAACACGUCAAUAAUCUGCCCUUAGGUCAGGCAUAACCUUGGGAAACUGAGGCUAACACCUGAUAGGAAAAUUCUACUGGAAAGUGUUUUUUCCAAAAAGCAAUGCCUAAGGAUGAGUUGGCGGCUGAUUAGGCUGUUGGUGAGGUAAAGGCUCACCAAACCUAAGAUCAGUAAGGGCCAUGAAAGUGGUAGCCCUGAGAAGGACACUGAGAUACUGGUCCUAGCCCCACGGGGUGCAGCAGGCGCGGAACCUUUACAAUGCACGAAAGUGUGAUAGGGGGACUCAGAGUGCUAAUACUUAGUAUUAGCUUUUGCCAAGAGUAAAUAUCUUGGAGAAUAAGUGGUGGGUAAGACUGGUGCCAGCCGGCGGUAACACCAGCGCCACGAGUGGGAAUCACGAUUAUUUGGCCUAAAGCGUCCGUAGCCGGACUAGCAAAUCUUUUGUGAAAUCGUUGUGCUCAACAUAACGGCGUGCAAGAGAGACUACUAGUCUUGGAAUUGGGAGGAGUCGGAGGUAUUCUGUGGGGAGCGGUAAAAUGCUAUAAUCCUCGGAGGACCAUCUGUGGCGAAGGCGUCCGACUAGAACAAAUUCGACGGUGAGGGACGAAAGCUAGGGGAGCAAACCGGAUUAGAUACCCGAGUAGUCCUAGCUGUAAACUCUGCGAGCUAGGCGUUGCAAAUUCCUCGAGAAUUUGCAGUAUCGUAGUGAAGAUGUUAAGCUCGCCGCCUGGGGAGUACGGUCGCAAGACUGAAACUUAAAGGAAUUGGCGGGGGAGCACUACAAGGGGUGCGGCGUGCGGUUUAAUCUAAUUCCACACAGAGAAUCUCACCAGAAGCGACGGCAGAAUGAAAGUCAGAUAGAAGGUCUUACUUAGCAAGCCGAGAGGUGGUGCGUGGCCGCCGUCAGCUCGUGUCGUAAGAUGUCCAUUUAAGUAUGGUAACGAGCGAGACCUGUAUCUAUAAUUGCUAACAACUUCUUUAGAAGGAUUGAGCACAUUAUGGGGACUGCCCUGGAAACAGGGAGGAAGGUGCAGGCAACGGUAGGUCUGUAUGCCCCGAAUCUUCUGGGCGACACGCGCGCAACAAUGGUGUGGACAAUGGGAUACAACUCCGAAAGGAGAAGUUAAACCUCGAAACCAUAUCUAAGUUCAGAUUGAGGAUUGUAACUCAUCCUCAUGACGAUGGAAUCCCUAGUAAUCAGAGUUCAACAGACUCUGGUGAAUAUGUCCCUGCUCCUUGCACACACCGCCCGUCAAUCCAACCGAGCAGGGCUUGAGUGAGACUUAGUUUUUUUGAUUGAGCCGAACUUAAGCUCAGUGAGGUGGGAUAAGUCGUCACAAGGUA